Molecule: ribosomal RNA, 253 nt
Filed under: uncultured bacterium
Lineage: Bacteria
Description: partial 16S ribosomal RNA
Rfam family: Bacterial small subunit ribosomal RNA
Source: RNAcentral
UACAGAGGGUGCGAGCGUUAAUCGGAAUUACUGGGCGUAAAGCGUGCGUAGACGGUUAUUUAAGUCGGAUGUGAAAGCCCCGGGCUCAACCUGGGAAUUGCAUUCGAGACUGAAUAGCUAGGGUGCGGUAGAGGGAAGCGGAAUUUCCGGUGUAGCGGUGAAAUGCGUAGAUAUCGGAAGGAACAUCAGUGGCGAAAGCGGCUUCCUGGACCAAUACUGACGCUCAUGUGCGAAAGCGUGGGGAGCAAACAGG